Non-coding RNA from Pelobates cultripes (western spadefoot toad), 1126 nucleotides. The record is from the annotation of a GenBank genome assembly. Lineage: Eukaryota; Metazoa; Chordata; Amphibia; Anura; Pelobatidae.
GGGGGGGGGGUGAUAUACCCAUGCCAAAUAAAGGGGAAUAAUGGGGGUCUUUAUACCCAUGCCAAAUAAAGGGGAAUAAUGGGGGGGGGGUAUACCCAGUGUAUACAUGUUGUAGCAGGUUUUAUCACACAAUGUAUAGUUUGGAUGAUAUCCCUUAUAAAGUGACAUCUUAUCGUUAUUAUAAAAUGUGCCCUUUAAUGUGACAAUAAAUGAAACCUUGGGAGCUGAUUAUUAUACACUGGCUCUAUAUUCCAAUAUGUGUAGGAAUCAGGGAGAUAUGUUAAUAUGAGGUCCUUCAUACAAUCUGCAUGACAUCCUGCCUUUCCAGUUACCUGACAUACAGCACUGUCUCACUGAAAGCCUCAGAGACCAUAAGCUCCCAGCAAACACACAGGAAUUACUGUCCAUAUAAUCCAGCAUUCUGCAUGGAGCUACAAAGGGUUAAUCCGAGACUAAAAUAAUGUAUCUGCCAGUGUGACCCUCAUAUUAAUACAUUGUGUCUCCUUACAUGGACACCCAUCUAUACAUACUGUGCAUGCCAUGGAUCACACAUAGGGAAUAUAUUAGCAACACAAUUGGAAAAACCCUCCUCUUAGUCAGAACUACGACUCCCAUGACGCCUUUUAGACGUUUUGAUGACGAAGCAUUGUAGGAGUUGUAGGUCAGCAACAGAUGUCUUCUUUUGCAGAUUCCUGGAUUACAUGCCCAGGUCAUAAUGCCAUGCUCGCCCUGUUUUAGCCAUCUGAAUUGUGACAGUUUGGCUUCUCCCACUGUGGAUCCUGGGCAAUGCUGAUUGCCCCCCCCUCCCCCUGGGCACAUGGACUGGUACAGCCCAAUACAGGUCCCGUCCCUCCCUUCCUGCCAUGAUGGGGAUCCUGGGCACAUGGAUGGACCCAGCUCAAUGCUGAUCCCCACCACCACCCCCCCUCCCUCCUGCCAUGAUGGGGAUCCUGGGCACAUGGAUGGACACAGCUCAAUGCUGAUCCCCACCACCACCCCCCCUCCCUCCUGCCAUGAUGGGGAUCCUGGGCACAUGGAUGGACACAGCUCAAUGCUGAUCUCCCCACCCCCCCUCCUGCCAUGCUUGGAAUCCUGGCACAUGGACUGGUACAGCCCAAUACUGCCC